This 2671-nucleotide long non-coding RNA is filed under the name Sorghum bicolor (sorghum). RNAcentral's name for it is "long non-coding RNA (SBIC_LNC006380)". The record is from RNAcentral. Lineage: Eukaryota; Viridiplantae; Streptophyta; Magnoliopsida; Poales; Poaceae.
CGAAUCCCAGGACGAUUGAGAAAACGGAGAGUCCCAUUCGGAGGACUUAAAAACACCGAAUGCCUUGCCAAGAGCUUUGUUGUCUAUUUGAGCUCCACAGAAUUCAAGGAUCAAAGAAGACUAGCAGACGGAGGACAUCCUACUCGCUGUCAGGGCGCUGCUGACAUUCAAAUACACCUCUGCCACCUGCUAGCUACAUCAGAAGGAAUUACGUCAAAAUCCAGCUUGGGGGAGAGCACUCCCAUUUAUCUAGCAAAGUGUUUCUACUCGCGUUUAUACUUUACUCAAAUAAUAAAAAGAUGCAUAAUCAUAAAAACCCAAAUAAAGAUUUUGUGCUUAUAUAUAUAUAUAUCUUUGCUUAGUUUGCUAAAUAAAUAAAUAAAUAAAGUUCGCUAUGAACCCUCAUGAUAAGCUCUCACAUGGAAAUGAUGAGUAGUUGCUCUACCAUGACUAGUUCUCAAAAUUGAAAUCUCUCUCAAGUUUAGGCAUGACUGUUAUUAAUUAAGAUUUGCUCUAAACCUGAUCUUGUGGGGAGAGUACUUGAUCUAAAGUCUAAGUCGUUAACGGAUACGAUAUGGGAAGGUUGAGCUGCUGUUUAUCUGUUCCUAGAGAUGCUAGAAUUCUGGAGAAUUUUAUCUUUCAAAAUCUUUAAAAUGUUGCAUGAUGAGUUCCUGUAUGAUGAGAGUUUAAAUUCCUACCACAGCCAUAUAUACAUGCUUGCUAGACUUUGAGCCACACAUUUACUUUUUUACUGCUUAUGAGCAUUGAGUGUGGUCAAGCUGUGUAGACCCUUAGGAGCUUGUCAUGUAGUUAAAUCAAGAUUCACUUGCACGUUCACUCAUACAUGCUACUUCUACUUCCGGAAGUACGCAUCCACAUAUAUCUACCCAUUUCCAUCUCUAGAACCACCCAAAAAUAUUGUACUCCUAAUCUGGGAGAGAAUAGCCAAAAACAUUUCUAUUUUUCCCUGUGAAAUAAAUGCUCAAGUUAUCUUGGUUACUACCACUUGCUAUAUUAUCUCAUGAGAUGAGUGCUCUAAAAAAAGAGAAAAAAAGUAUAUGAGGAAAUAAAAAGGGGCAAGUGCCUGGAACCUCGAAAGAAAAGAAAAAGUGAGACGAGAGGUAAAAAUGGACAAGUGUCCGACAGUAGAAUUAGGGGUACAAGAUACCCACCUGAGAGGAAAGAAAAAGAAAAUAUAGAGCAUCUCAUUCUCCUCAAAAAGUUUCAAAAGAGCAAGGAAGGUAUGUAUCCCCUCAAAAGAGCAUAAGUAGAAUUAGACUUUCACCAUUGUUAUUACCAUCAUCACCAUACAUCAUUCAUUUGCCACACAUGCACAUCUUGAUUUGACUUAUUGACUUGUUCUUCUAGAUCCAUGGUUUGACUUUGCAAUAAAUGUCUUGUAAGUAUGUAUUAGCUGUCUCCCACCUAUGAGCUCCAGAUAUCAAAAGCCUUAUUAGAGUAGGGUGAGAGAGAAGGCAAUGUUACUAUGUCUGAUACCAAAAAUACCACAUACUUUGAGAGAAGGCAUACUCCUUUACUGCCUUGGUAAGGAUCUAGAAAUACCACAAAAGAGAGACUAGAGAGAGUCAUACAAGGAAUCUCUGAGUUUUAUUUGAAAAUCUGCAAAAACUCCAGAGCUAUAGUUAAUCGAAGAACAAGAGACAUGGCGCUUGACUAGACCGUUCUAUCUUUUAACUGCUCAAGACACAAGUGACGGUUACAAGCCCCAUGGUGGAAGGUAAAAUGAGUAAGUUUAAAUCUUAACAGUUUACCCUAACCUAGAGAUGAGAUCUUGUUUGAACACAUGUGUAUUUUUAAGGCAUGAAACCACUGCAGAAACUCUUAAGUUCAUCUUUGCUCAGGGACGAGCAAAAGUUAAGCUUGGGGGAGCUUGUUGACGGUCCUUAAUGCUCACAUUUAACCAUUAACUAAUCAUGGAAAAGGAUCCAAAUGCAACUAACACCUAGACUUAGGAUUUUAUCUGACAGAAUUUCAUGAGUUUUGGUGUUUGUCUAUUUCUGCAGGGGGUUAUCAGGAAAUACGGAAGAAAGGCCCACACGUCGGGUUUACAUAGAGAUAUUAACGUGCCGCGCAAUUUUCUAUCAUCUAGAAGACUCCAGAAGCCACGGGAACGAACGGGAAGGCAAUCGGGCUCGGAGGCAGAGCGCCGGCCAUACUCUCCUAGGCGCCCGCCCACCUACAGUGCCCAAACAGAGUCCUUUUCAGAGAUCAUGUUCCACCGACCUAAAGGAUCAAGGAAAACCGUGCGAUUAAUGUCGGUUUGAUCCGACGGCCCAGAUUCACUUGAAGGGACUAUAAAACCAGACCCCCCUAGCCCCUGGAGAUCAUACCUCUUCUAUAGAAUCAAAGUUAGGGUUUCAAUUCUUCAUCCAAGUAGAGAGGAUCCCUCUAGUUCUUCUAGUUCUACCUCUAGUUCAUCUAGAUCUAGUUCUAGUUCUAGUUCUUCUAGUUCUAGUUCUAGUUAGUUCUAGUUGUAAUCUAGAAAAUAGGGAGAGAGAAGAGGAGAGCGGAGGAGGAGCCGGAUCUGUCGGAUCUUCCUCAACAUUGUACUUUUGCAGCAUCUGGUUCGUUCUUCAUCGUUCUCCAGGUUCUUCAAUUCAUAAUUCCUGAGUUCUUUAAUUACUUUUAUUUACAUUCAAGUUAUUUAUUG